Molecule: ribosomal RNA, 2543 nt
Filed under: human gut metagenome
Description: bacterial LSU rRNA
Rfam family: Bacterial large subunit ribosomal RNA
Source: RNAcentral
AGGGCAUACGGCGGAUGCCUAGGCGCCAUGAGCCGAUGAAGGACGCGGUAAGCUGCGAAAAGCCACGGGGAACUGCAAGCAAGUAUUGAUCCGUGGAUAUCCGAAUGGGGAAACCCAACUACCGUCAUGGGUAGUUAUCCGAAAGGAAGGGAACCUGGGGAACUGAAACAUCUAAGUACCCGGAGGAAAAGAAAUCAAACGAGAUGCCCACAGUAGCGGCGAGCGAAGAGGGCAGAGCCCAAACCGUAAAGCUACGGCUUUACGGGGUUGAGGACCGGCAUAAUCGAAGUCAGGUCUAGCUGAACUACCUGGAAAGGUAGGCGAUAGAGUGUAAAAGCCACGUAAGCGAAAGACAGAGCGGAGAGGCCGAGAUCCAGAGUACCACGAAGCACGAGGAAUUUUGUGGGAAGCAGGGGGGACCACCCUCCAAGGCUAAAGACUAAAUGGCGACCGAUAGCGCAUAGUACCGUGAGGGAAAGGUGAAAAGAACCCCGGGAGGGGAGUGAAAGAGUACCUGAAACCGUAUGUCUACAAGCAGUCGGAGCGAAAGCGACGGCGUGCCUAUUGAAGAAUGAACCAACGAGUUACGUGCAGUAGCGAGGUUAAGUGGAAGACACGGAGCCGAAGCGAAAGCGAGUCUUAAGAGGGCGAAUAGUUGCUGUACGUAGACCCGAAACCGCAGUGAUCUACCCAUGUCCAGGUUGAAGCGCAGGUAAAAUUGCGUGGAGGACCGAACCGGUGAGCGUUGAAAAGCUUUCGGAUGAGAUGUGGGUAGAGGUGAAAUUCCAAUCGAACGCGGAGAUAGCUGGUUCUCCCCGAAAUAGCUUUAGGGCUAGCCUCAAGUAGUAAGUAUAGGCGGUAGAGCACUGAUCGGGCUAGGGGCCGUAAAGGUUACCGAACCCUGUCAAACUCCGAAUGGUUAUACUGCAAAGCUUGGGAGUCAGACUACGAGUGAUAAGAUCCGUGGUCAAAAGGGAAACAGCCCAGACCACCAGCUAAGGUCCCCAAUGCCGUACUAAGUGGAAAAGGAUGUGGGGUCUCAUAAACAACCAGGAUGUUGGCUUAGAAGCAGCCACCAUUUAAAGAGUGCGUAAUAGCUCACUGGUCGAGAGACCCUGCGCCGAAGAUUACCGGGGCUAAAGUACGGAACCGAAGCUGUGGCUACAUACGUAAGUAUGUGGGGUAGGGGAGCGUUCCCAUAGGGUUGAAGUCGUACUGUAAGGUACGGUGGACUUGUGGGAAGUGAGAAUGUUGGUAUGAGUAGCGAAAAGAAAGGUGAGAAUCCUUUCCACCGAAAGCAUAAGGAUUCCUGGGCAACGAUCGUCGUCCCAGGGUAAGUCGGGACCUAAUCCGAGGCAGAGAGCGUAGGAGAUGGACAACUGGUUGAUAUUCCAGUACCGGUGAUAAUUGUUUGAGCGAUGGAGUGACACAGGAGGGUAGGUCAGCAGGAGAUUGGUUGUUCCUGUGAAAGCGUGUAGGAUGGCAGAUAGGCAAAUCCGUCUGCUGAAAGUCUGAGGCGUGAGACGAGAUGGUAGAAAUACCGUCGAAGUGAUUGACCCCACACUGUCGAGAAAAGCUUCUAGUGAGAUUAUAACCGCCCGUACCGUAAACCGACACAGGUAUGCGGGGAGAGAAUCCUAAGGUGCGCGGGAGAACCCUCGUUAAGGAACUCGGCAAAUUGUAUCCGUAACUUAGGGAUAAGGAUAGCCGGAGGAUGUGAAGGGAUUUACUUCUGGAGCGUCAGCCGGUGGCACAAGAGAGGCCCAAGCGACUGUUUAGCACAAACACAGGUGCCUGCAAAAGAGAAAUCUGACGUAUAGGUGCUGACACCUGCCCGGUGCUGGAAGGUUAAGAGGAGGGCUUAGAGGCAACUCGAAGGCUUGAAUUGAAGCCCCAGUAAACGGCGGCCGUAACUAUAACGGUCCUAAGGUAGCGAAAUUCCUUGUCGGGUAAGUUCCGACCCGCACGAAAGGUGUAACGAUUUGGGCACUGUCUCAACGAGGGACCCGGUGAAAUUGAAAUACCUGUGAAGAUGCAGGUUACCCGCGACUGGACAGAAAGACCCCAUGGAGCUUUACUGUAACCUGACAUUGGGUUUUGAUACAUCACGUACAGGAUAGGUGGGAGGCAUGGAAGCUGGGACGCUAGUCUCAGUGGAGCCGACGUUGGGAUACCACCCUUGAUGUAUCGGAAUUCUAACCGUAGUAGUAACGACACUCGGGACAGUGUCAGGCGGGCAGUUUGACUGGGGCGGUCGCCUCCCAAAGAGUAACGGAGGCGCCCAAAGGUUCCCUCAGCGCGGCCGGAAAUCGCGCGAAGAGUGUAAAGGCAGAAGGGAGCUUGACUGAGAGCCAAACACGGCGAUCAGGUACGAAAGUAGGGCUUAGUGAUCCGGUGGCAUCCAAGUGGAAGGGCCAUCGCUCAACGGAUAAAAGCUACCCUGGGGAUAACAGGCUAAUCUCUCCCAAGAGUCCAUAUCGACGGGGAGGUUUGGCACCUCGAUGUCGGCUCAUCACAUCCUGGGGCUGAAGUAGGUCCCAAGG